UCCGAGGCUAAUAAGCUUAGACAGUUAAUGAAUUCACUAUUCAGGUCAAAUCAAUAGUGAAAAGGAAUACCGUUGUAAAGGGUAAAAAGAGUAGUAGUAGGCAAAGAGGGUCCAGCUGCCAUCAUGAGACUAUUCCGGCAUAUGGGAAAGAAAACAAAAAAAAGAAGAAGACCCAUUUCUCAUUUUGACUCCUGUCUUCAAUGAAUGAUUUUAGAUUGGUUGUACAAACGGCCAAAACAGAAAUUACGAGUAAAAACUUGUAGCAGCAAUUUCAUAGUCACCAGCUACAUCUGGGAAUCAGAUGCAACCUCAACUUGAUUGGUUAACUGAAUCUUGAUAGUUUUUUAUUUUACUUCCCACCUUGGCUCCUUACCAGCUCAGCUCAGAGUUUCAGUCCUUAAUUCUCUCAAAAUCUGAAAGAUAAGGAAAGGAUGAUGUCUCCACGUGAUGUCCAUAACCUUUUGGCCUUGCUGGUUACUUGCUAUUCGAGGUAUGGUCUCUCUGUUCCACCCCUAUACUUUCCCCUCCAAGUGGGUUUUCUCAUCAAUAAAAUAUUGUUUGGGAUAUCUCUCUGUUUCUUUUUUUUUAAGACCCACUUUGAUUUUAAACUAUAUUUUAAAGAGAGACGAAUCUUUUUUUUUCUUUUUCUUUUUUUGUGUGUGGUUAAAUCUUUAUAUUCUUAUUUUCUUGACAUAAGAAGCCUUCUAGUGAGUACUACUAUCCACUCACGAAUUAUUAUUAUAUAUUAUCCGUACUUUCGUGGUCUUAAUUGGGGGUAUUUUUUAGAUUUCAACUGAUUAUAAUUAUUGUAGACCUGGAGGACAAAUCAAGAAUAAGGGUUAUG
This 844-nucleotide long non-coding RNA is filed under the name Nicotiana tabacum (common tobacco). Its description in RNAcentral is "long non-coding RNA (NTAB_LNC012406)". The record is from RNAcentral. Lineage: Eukaryota; Viridiplantae; Streptophyta; Magnoliopsida; Solanales; Solanaceae.